GCAGGACCUCAGCGCGAAAGCCCAGCGCGCUUUAGGACUGUCCCCUCUGAAAAUGUGGUGUCACUGUGCAGCCAAAGCCUGGGGAGACGCGUCCAACUCAGACACUCAGCAUGUAGUGGCUGAGGAGAUCGCCUCAGAGCCCAGGAACCCGGGGCCGGGAGGAUCCGAAGCAAGACUGCCUGCGUGCCGCGCCAAGCAAGCACUCCCUUUUAUGUCCAGGAAUGAGGCGUCCUCAGCACCCAGGCGCGCAACCCGCGGCGGCGGCUUUACCUGUCGCGGAGCGCGUCUGCAGGACAGCGGAGAGCAGCGCGGAGAUGAUGGAGAGCAGCCACCUCGGGCGCCUUCCCUGCGCAGUCCUCCUGCAAGAAGCGGUGACAGAGAAGGAUGAAGGUAUACCUGCAUUCAGUUGACUGGCUUGACCUGGUUCAACCGAUCAGUGUUGGAGAAUGCAGCAGAUUCCUUUCCAACUCUCUCAGAGAAGUCCUGGGGACACCUUUGUUGAUUCUAGGAGAUAUACAUAAAGCCCGCCUUGUGUGUCUGAUUAAUGAGAAGAAGCAGCAGACUUCGCUAGCCUGCCAGAAGCCAACUUAAUAAAAUAAUCAGAGAAGAGGGCUGCCUCCUGGAGAACCAUGACUGUUGUACACACAGCUGCUCCCCGGGAGUGGCUUGUAUUCCAUUG
Molecule: long non-coding RNA, 679 nt
Organism: Acomys russatus (golden spiny mouse)
Lineage: Eukaryota; Metazoa; Chordata; Mammalia; Rodentia; Muridae
Exons: 3
Source: RefSeq, a predicted model, not a curated record